Molecule: ribosomal RNA, 298 nt
Filed under: uncultured bacterium
Lineage: Bacteria
Description: partial 16S ribosomal RNA
Rfam family: Bacterial small subunit ribosomal RNA
Source: RNAcentral
ACUCCUACGGGAGGCAGCAGUGGGGAAUAUUGCACAAUGGGCGCAAGCCUGAUGCAGCCAUGCCGCGUGUGUGAAGAAGGCCUUCGGGUUGUAAAGCACUUUCAGUCGUGAGGAAGGUGAGUUGUUAAGUUAAUAGCUGCAUUAUUUUGACGUUAGCGACAGAAGAAGCACCGGCUAACUCCGUGCCAGCAGCCGCGGUAAUACGGAGGGUGCGAGCGUUAAUCGGAAUUACUGGGCGUAAAGCGCAUGCAGGUGGUUUGUUAAGUCAGAUGUGAAAGCCCGGGGCUCAACCUCGGAA